CCUGGUGGCUAUAGCGUCGGUGCGAUCCCAUUCCGAACUCGGCCGUGAAACCCGACUGCGCCAAUGGUACUAUCGCUCAAGCGAUGGAAGAGUAGGUCGUCGCCAGGC
RNAcentral lists this ribosomal RNA (108 nucleotides) under Sphingomonas sp. Leaf28. Lineage: Bacteria; Pseudomonadati; Pseudomonadota; Alphaproteobacteria; Sphingomonadales; Sphingomonadaceae. The record is from RNAcentral.